AGAGCCUUACGGGACGCAGCAGUGGGGAAUAUUGCACAAUGGGGGAAACCCUGAUGCAGCGACGCCGCGUGAGUGAAGAAGUAUUUCGGUACGUAAAGCUCUAUCAGCAGGGAAGAAAGAAAGUCCUUUGGACUUUGGACGGUACCUGACCAAGAAGCCCCGGCUAACUACGUGCCAGCAGCCGCGGUAAUACGUAGGGGGCAAGCGUUAUCCGGAUUUACUGGGUGUAAAGGGAGCGUAGACGGCAGGGCAAGUCUGGAGUGAAAGGCGGGGGCUCAACACCCGGACUGAUCUGGAAAAUGGCA
RNAcentral lists this ribosomal RNA (305 nucleotides) under uncultured bacterium. RNAcentral describes it as "bacterial SSU rRNA". It matches the Rfam family "Bacterial small subunit ribosomal RNA", at positions 333 to 638 of the family's 1533-position model. The record is from RNAcentral.